CUUGCUGAGAGGUGGGGGUGCCCGAAAGGGAGCCGUAACACAGGUGCUGCAUGGCUGUCGUCAGCUCGUGUCGUGAGAUGUUGGGUUAAGUCCCGCAACGAGCGCAACCCUUGUCCCUAGUUGCUACGCAAGAGCACUCUAGGGAGACUGCCGGUGACAAACCGGAGGAAGGUGGGGAUGACGUCAAGUCCUCAUGGCCCUUAUGGGUAGGGCUUCACACGUCAUACAAUGGUCGGAACAGAGGGUUGCCAAGCCGCGAGGUGGAGCCAAUCCCAGAAAACCGAUCGUAGUCCGGAUCGCAGUCUGCAACUCGACUGCGUGAAGCUGGAAUCGCUAGUAAUCGCGGAUCAACAUGCCGCGGUGAAUACGUUCCCGGGUCUUGUACACACCG
RNAcentral lists this ribosomal RNA (391 nucleotides) under Burkholderia sp. BV45. RNAcentral describes it as "bacterial SSU rRNA". It matches the Rfam family "Bacterial small subunit ribosomal RNA", at positions 997 to 1392 of the family's 1533-position model. The record is from RNAcentral. Lineage: Bacteria; Pseudomonadati; Pseudomonadota; Betaproteobacteria; Burkholderiales; Burkholderiaceae.